This 777-nucleotide ribosomal RNA is filed under the name uncultured Neocallimastigales. Its description in RNAcentral is "partial large subunit ribosomal RNA". It matches the Rfam family "Eukaryotic large subunit ribosomal RNA", at positions 20 to 630 of the family's 3401-position model. Lineage: Eukaryota; Fungi; Neocallimastigomycota; Neocallimastigomycetes; Neocallimastigales. The record is from RNAcentral.
CAUCACUACGCUAGAUGCAUAUCAAUAAGCGGAGGAAAAGAAACUAACAAGGAUUCCCCUAGUAACGGCGAGUGAAGCGGGAAGAGCUCAAAUUUGAAAUCUUAAAAGGUUUUCCUUUUACGAAUUGUAGUUUAAAGAAGUGUUUUCUGUUGAAGUUUUGGUACAAGUUCUUUGGAAUAGGACAUCAUAGAGGGUGAGAAUCCCGUAUUUGACCUUAAUUUUUCAACUUUGUGAUACACUUUACAAAGAGUCGGAUUGUUUGGGAAUGCAGUCCAAAAUGGGUGGUAAAUUUCAUCUAAGGCUAAAUAUUGGCGAGAGACCGAUAGCGAACAAGUACCGUGAGGGAAAGAUGAAAAGAACUUUGAAAAGAGAGUUAAAUAGUACGUGAAAUUGUCAAAAGGGAAGCGUUUGGCACCAGUGUUGUUUUUCUAAAAAUCAAUUUAAAAUUUGCUUAUGUUAAGUGUUUUAGACUUAAUCGGCUAUACAUUUAAUUCUUUGUAAAUUUUGAAUGCACUUUUUAGUUAACAAGUCAACAUCAAUUUUUUUUGCUGUAAAAAAGUAAGAGGAAGGUGGCUUGGGAUUCGUUUCAAGCGUUUAUAGCCUCUUGCCCAUGCAGUAGGAGAGAUUGAGGUCUGCAGCACAGAUCCUUCGGGGCUAGAUGCUUUUGCGCUAGAAGCUAGUAUUAUAUAGACAACUUGUUGAUUAUGUAAUAUAUUAGUUUCUACUCGCUUAAAGUUAUUUUACCUACGCUUAGGAUGUUGACUGAUAUGUAGUCGU